This 253-nucleotide ribosomal RNA is filed under the name uncultured bacterium. Its description in RNAcentral is "partial 16S ribosomal RNA". It matches the Rfam family "Bacterial small subunit ribosomal RNA", at positions 524 to 776 of the family's 1533-position model. The record is from RNAcentral.
GACAGAGGCCUCGAGCGCUAGGCGGAAUCACUGGGCUUAAAGCGUGUGUAGGCGGGCCCGUAAGUGUCUUGUGAAAUCCCACGGCUCAACCGUGGAACUGCUGGGCAUACUGCGGGUCUUGGGCCAACUAGGGGCAGCCGGAACAAGCGGUGGAGCGGUGAAAUGCGUAGAUAUCGCUUGGAACGCCGAAGGUGAAAACAGGUUGCUGGGGGUGUGCUGACGCUGAGACACGAAAGCCAGGGGAGCGAACGGG